Molecule: long non-coding RNA, 9489 nt
Organism: Cavia porcellus (domestic guinea pig)
Lineage: Eukaryota; Metazoa; Chordata; Mammalia; Rodentia; Caviidae
Exons: 2
Source: RefSeq, a predicted model, not a curated record
GGCAGCAUGUCCAAAGACAGGUGUGAGCUGGCUCGGUAAGAGCAAGAGCCUGCAAGCAGUUCUGUGUUGCCUCAGGAGAAAGAGUUCAAAAAGGGAGUAGCAACUGACGAAGCUGGAGAGAGGAGCACAAAAGCAAGAGGCUUCCUGUAGAAGUUCGUAUUUUCCUUACUCUGUAGGCAGCAGGGAGCCACUGAAGGCCUCUAAACAGGACAUGAGGCUCUUACGUUCCUAAAGACAGCUUACUGUUCAGCAAAGUGGAUAAUGGAUUUGAAGGGACAAGACCACAAGUAGGAAGAGGCUGCUGUAAUGAAGCAGAAUUGAAGGAAGACAACAGCCUGCGCGACAAUGCAGUGAGGAGGAAGGGGAGGGAACAGGAGCUGCAGCACCCUCAUGAGGCAGAACCAUUCACAAGCUGACCAGAGGUGCUGUGCUGCUGAGCCGCUGAUGUGCGUCGGCCCAUCCCAGGAUGUAUUUUUGACAUGCCAAGGUAUUUGUGAUAUAAUGACAAAUGAAGAAGCAGGUAACAAAACUGAACAUCUGUACCCAAUGACCAACAUUCUCUUACUUUGCUGGUAACCCACCAUUCUAUUCUGCUUCUUUGAGUUUGCUAAGCACAAUUCCCUUGUUUGUAAGACAGGGAUAAAAAAAAUAAGGUUUCUUCUUAAGGGCCACAUAUGAAAUAAUACAUGUAUGACUGUACCUGGUGCACAGUAGCUAUUUUUCUUUUCCUGUCACCAACAGUUUCAAGCCCUAUCUGGAUAUGUGUCUUAUGGGACAUUCUGCAAAAUACCACUGAGGGCAAAAUCAUAUCUCUUAGCAGAGUCCUUUUUUUUUUUUUUUUUUGCUCUUUUUCAUUUUUAUCGGUACCAGGGAUCGAACUCACGACCGCCUGCUUGCAAGGCAGGUGCUUAUGCCGCUGAGCUAAAUCCCCAGCCCUCUUAGCAGAGUCUUAACGGCCGAACCUAACGGCCCCACCUCUCAGCUCCUUCGAUCUCACCUGCUCUAGACAGCUCCGACAGGCCUCCUGGAUCAGCUGCUCUGUGUCCACCUCUUCCCCCACAUUGUCCCGAACGUUCAUGGCUGCUUUCUGGAAGAACUGGGGAUGCACAAUAGAGGACAAGGUCAAAAGUCCAGCUGGACUAAUAAAGCAGAAGCUUCUAGCCUAUGUUUAUUCAGAAGGGAAAGUGAUUAGGAACAUGGCUUUGGAGUCAGGCAGAUUUAACUCAUAAAUCAGGCUCUAUCCCCUGUUCUAUCACCUCCCUCCCUGCAUUCUUUUUCAAAUCCAGGGCCUCACACCUAUCAGGGCAAGUGUCCUAGUGCUGAGCUAAAUGCUUAGCUCUUUUUAUUUUCUAUUGAGGCAAGCUCUUGCUAACUUACUUAGGCUGGGCUCAUACUUAUGUUCCUCUGCUUCAGCUUCCUUACAUAGCUCUGGGAUUAUAGGUUUUGUGCUACCAUGCCUGGCUUGAGGAUGUAUUUUUGACAUGAGAAAGUAUUCGUGAUAUAAUUACAAAUGAAGCAAGCAUGUUAUAAAAUAGUUUCACAUAGAAUAAGCCUACUUAUAUAAAAUAACAAAAAGUAAACAUAUAGGCAAAAGAACUGUAGGGACAUGUAUUGAUUUAACAGUGGUGGUAUAUGGAUGGUAUUUUCUUUUCCUUAUCUGUAGCCUCCCAAUUUUUUUUAAUGUACACAAAACAUUUUUGCAUUAAAAAAAAAAAAAAAAAAAAGAAUGCCUGUGCCUGAAGUGAAUAGGCCAAGGGAGGCUAGAACAGAUCAAGACAGUGCAAAAGUCCUAACUGGAUUCCCACUGUCCAGUCCUCAAUCUGUAGAACAGGAAAAGGAAGGGCUGGGGAUAUAGCUCAGUGGCAUAGCGUCCGCCUGGCAAGCAAGAGGAGGUGGAGGUGGGGGAAAGAAAUCCAACAGGGGCUGGUUGGCAAAGGCAAGGGAAGGCAGAAGGUUCUUCUAUUGGGUCAGAGAGCGAGCUAGGGCCUAAAAAUACUGAGGGAGCCUGAAGACACAUUUGGGAGGUCCCUAGGAACAUUCAUUAAAAGUCUCUAAAAAUAUAAAGUGUCAAACUUGUCUAGUGGGCAAGAUAAUUCAGGAAACUGUAACAAUGCUCAUGAUAAGGAUGUACUGCCACUUUAUAUUUAACAAGGACAAAAGCCUCUGUUAAUAGCAAACCAAGGAGAAUGUUAUAACCUAAGGCCCCCUAACUAUCGCGCCAAAGUCUGUUCUGUAUAAGCAUCGCCUACUGCUUUCCCUUCCCUUCUCCCUUUACAUCUAACUAGGUUAAGUUUUAACUUUCCAAAAAGCCAUAAAACAAAGGCCUGAGGUAAUAGUUCCUGACAACCCCCUUCCCUACCCAGUGGCCCAUCACAAAUUGUGUUAAUUGCAUUAGAUUGUACUAUUAUUCACAAAAAUCGCUUCGUUUGUAUCAUAGCAAUACCUAUAUGUAUUUUCCUUUUCCCUUUGGGUGAUCUAAUUGAUAUGUUAAUCAAUGCUCUCCUCUGUAAAGAAUUGUAAAAUCUUACCUAAUUUAUAUGUUAACCAUUGUUGCCCUCUACAAAUCACAGUUGUGGUACUAAAGUAAGGUAACUAAGGUUGUUAAUUGCUGUUAGACUUCUCUAUUCUUUGCUAAGAAAAACAAGAUUUCUUCUUAUCUAAACUUGCUUGUAUGCAGGGAGACUUGCAAUCCCCGUUUCUGUUUGUGCCACACUCCCAUCCCCUUCCUUACAUUGUGACCAGCAGUUGUUUGUGGAUUUACAAGAUAAAAGCCCUGACUUUUAGCUGUCAGAUACGCAGUCUCCAUACUGGCUCCCAGAGACUCGUCACCAGGCCUGGAAAUAAAGCUUUUGCUUCCCAAAUUUUAAUUUGUUGCUUCCUUGGAUUUUAUACCAGGGUCCAAGUUAUCACAUUUGGGGGCUCGUCCGGGAUGGGAGCAAGACCCCAGACCCAUUUUUGAACAUCUGAAAGUAAAGUACUCUGGAGGGGUUUGUUUGGGCUGUGGUCAGUUGUAGUUGUAUUCUUGGAGGGGACGCCCUCAAACUUUGGGAGUGUGGACCUUCUGAGGACAGAAUCAAUUGGUUUUCCAUCCAUUUGUGACUCUGCCCUGGGUGGGGAACCGCUCCAUUAGGAAGGGGACACCCUCAAUUUGGGGAGUGGAACCUCCCGAGGACAGAGUCAAUUGGUUUUUGCCAUUUGUGACUCUGCCCUGGGUGGGGAACUGCUCUGUUGGUUAAUUUGUUAAUUCCUCCAAAUCCCAAAAUUUGACUAAUUUUUGAGCAAAGGCCAUUUUUGCUUUGCUGUCUUGUAUGUCUGUUGGUGUGUCCAUUUGUUCUAAUUGUUCUCCUUUUGGUUACCCCAAAUCUAACAGAACAUUCUCUCCUAGGAACCCCUUCUAUGAGCCCAAAACGGACUAAGGAUUUUAGAUCUUUAUGUUCAGAGUUUUUGUACUUUAGAAUUGUUUGCCUGUUUAAAUUUGUUACUAAUUUAGGGGCUUGUUGCCCAUUUCUGUUGCAGGAUCCAUAUGGCUUAUUAGAUUCAAGGUUCAUAAUAAGAAAAAUUAUUUCCUUUAGCUCAACAAACUGCAUGAAGCACCCUUUGUCUGUGUCUUUAAUGUUGUGGCGCCCUGUUUAAUGUUAGUCCUAAAUUGAUUGCUUGCAACCUCAGCAUGCCUUUUAAAAGGAGUAUUUUUCUUUCUGGCACAUAUAUAUGUAUAUUUAUGGUUUUUAAGAAUCAUAUCAACUUUACCAAGUAAAAACCAGGUCCUACUGUAAUUGAGCCAGUUAAAAGGUUAUAGUUUUGUUUUUAAAAUAUAGCAUUUUUAUGUGGUAAAAAGACAUAAAAUAAUUAAAUAUGUUUUAGACUACUAAAAGGUGACUUCAAGGGUUUUGUUGAGAGUUUUUGAUGUUGUCUGAGAAGCAAGAGGAAAGAUAAUUGACUGGUAAUAGUAAAAAAAAGAGGGACAAGGAAAAUGGUUUUGUUUUCAAAUAAAAAUAUCUGGCUGUGCCAGAAUGUGGAAAAAGAUAAAAGCUUAACUUGGGGGGGUGUAUUGUAAGUUGUAGAAAGCUCAAGAGGAUAUAAAUUUUAUUUGUCUUGGUUUAUAGUACUGCAAAUAACAUGUUUGACAAGAAGUAAAUGUGUUCAGAAUUUGACAGUCUUAGAUCAAUUUUGGUAGAAGUAUUCAUAAGAUUGUACUUUGCUGCAAAAUGUUUCCAUUAAAAUGAGAUUACAGGUGAUACUAGAGAUAAGAUACAAAUUCUUGCAUGUGCUGUGAACAUCUGGGAGAUUAUGCAGCACAAUUUUGUUACCUAUGAAAAAGCCCUUUUUGUUAAGAAUAUAAUUUCAGUAAAACGAUGGCCUGUCACAUGACACUCUUGGACAAAAAAGUGGUGUGCCAUCCAAAUGAAGCUGGCUCACUGAUCCGGAAUGCCAAAGCCAUGUUCUCCUUUUGUCCCACCCCGAUUGGACAUCCAGAGGUAAGGAGGUUUCCCAGUAUCGCCAUUGUUCUCUUUGCAACUCAGUCAGCCCUACAUGUUAGACAAAAAUUGCAAAGAUUUGAGAGGUUUGAGGGAAUAGAGUUAAUAGAGAUAUUAUCAGCCAGUUACUAGAGAUAGCACAAAAGUCUUUGAGAACUAGAAAUUUACAAGAAGCUACCAACAAAAAGAUAACCACGGUGUUAGAAUUGCUCUAUGAGAGAAAAGUUUUAAAAAACAGAUGAGAGUUUCUGGGGGCAGUUGGAUACUGUAGGCUAAAUUUUACUAAAAAGCUUGCCUCUAUAUGACUCCCAUAAGGCAGAAACUCAAAACUCACUGAACUGGACUGAUAAAUGCGAAUAGGCCUUCCAGCAGCUCAAGCGGGCCUUGACAGAGGUCCCAGCCCUGGGACUCCCUGAUGUUACCUUGUUCAUAGAUAAACUCAGGGGCAUUGCCAAAGGAGUACUAACUCAGACAUUGGCCCUUGGAAAAGGCCUAUAGCCUACCUCUCCAAAAGACUUGAUGCAGUGACAGGAGUAUGGCCCCCUUGCCUAAGAAUACUAGCUGCUGUGACAAUGUUACUUAAGGAGGCGAAGAAACUCGCUUUGGGCAAUUGAUUUCUGUGGUAACCUCUCACAGUUUAGAGACUCUUAUCAAAACCCCUCCUGAAAAAAAAGACUCUAGAACGCCAGAAUUCUACACUGUCAAACCCUGCUUCUAGACCCAGAGUCAGUGAUAUUCAAGACUUCUUCAGCUUUAAACCCAGCCACCCUUAUGCCUGAUGAUGACCUGGAGGAACAAAGGACACCUCUCCAUGAGUGUGCUGACAUCCUCAAACUGCAGCAGAACCUAUGGGCUGAUCUUACUGACCAGCUUUUGGGAAAUGCUGACAACUAUUUCAUCGAUGGAAGCAGCUUCAUCCAGAACGGCAAACGAGUGGCCGGGGCAGCAAUGACCACCAAAAAGGAGGUACUCUGGCACCUCUGCCCAAAAGGCGGAGCUCAUUGCUUUGAAUGAGGUGCUAAAACUAGCCACGGGAAGGAGGGUAAACAUUUUAACUGACAGUAGAUAUGCUUUUGCUACUGUACAUGUACAUGGUGCCAUCUAUCAGGAGCAAGGUUCCUCACCUCAGCUGAGACUAAGAUUAAAAAUGCUCCACAGAUUCUAGACUUGCUGGCAGCUGUCUGGCUGCCUCAACGGGUUGCUAUUAUUCAUUACAAGGCUCACCAGACAGAUGACACUGUCAUCUUAGGAAACAGUUUGGCAGAUCAAGCCGCUCAAAAAAUAGCAACCACAUCAGAGGGGCCAACCAAGGAAGUAACUGCUCUGAUGCUAGUCCCUCCGACCUUGUCAGAACCAGUCUACACAAAGAAAGACCUACAGUUAGCAUCUCAACUUGGAGCGAAGUCCCCCACCCAAGGAGGCUGGUACCAGUUACCUGAUAAACGAGUACUGUUACUGGAGGCACUAGGGCAGGAGCUGUUACACCGGGCUAACCAGACUACCCAUUUAGGGGGAACUAAACUUGUGGAAUUGUUCAGAACUCGGUUUUUUAUUCCAAAACUCUGCAAACUGACUGCCUCUUUGAGCUCCAGAUGCCCACAGUAAUUGUUAGUCAACUCAGCCAAGAGCUCUAUGCUGGAGACCACCGAACAUCAAAGAAUUGUUCCAGGAGAACAUUGGAAAGUAGACUUCAUGGCAUGGUAAAGCCUGAUUUACAGGGGUACCGCUAUCUCUUGGUAUUAAUAGACACUUUUACUGGUUGGGUAGAGGCUUUCCCUACUAAGUCUGAGUCAGCCUUAGUGGUAGUUAAAAGGCUAUUGCAUGAGAUCAUACCUUGAUUUGGCCUCCCACUAUCAAUGGGGUCUGAUAAUGGCCUGGCUUUCAUAGCCCAAGUCACCCAAAAGUUAGCCCAGGCAUUUAAGAUUAAACUCCACUGUGCCUAUCAGCCACAAAGCUUAGGGCAAGUAGAACGUAUGAACCAAAGUCUCAAGGACAUUUUAGCUAAGCUGUCUUCAAAAACUGGCGAUAAUUGGGUGAGCCUUCUUCCCUUUACACUGUUAAGAGCUAGAUGUACCCCAUAUGUUUCUAGAAUUUCCCCCUUUGAAGCCAUGUUUGGGAGGCCCCUGUCAUUGGUUCCAAGAUUGUCAGGAAAUAAACUAGCUAAAAUAACUAAUCAAGAUCUCAUUAAGUCCCGGCAGACUCUCCAACCCGUGUUGACUUCAAUCCACCAGCUGCUUAGACUAGACAAAAACACCUGGAUCUGCCUUCAGAGACACCUCUCAAGGUGCCGAUCAAGCCAGGGACUCCAGUCUUGGUGCAAUGUUACCACCGUGACUCCCUCGAACCCCGCUGGGAAGGACCUUUUACCAUGGUGCUCAGUACCCCCACUGCCAUCAAGGUAGCAGGAAAAAAUGCGUGGAUUCACCAUACUCACGUAAAGCCACUGGAAACAGCGGACAAUGAGGGACAUACUCAGUGGACUACACAGCAGACUGGUAACCCCUUAAAGUUAAAAUUGACUAAAGCAUAUUAGAUUAUGCUGGUCAUGAACUGUUUUAGCUUGCUUGCUUUGAUUUUAAUAACAUUGAUGCCGACCUUGCACGGCGGCUUUGGUCCCCCUGUAAGCAAAGAACAAUUGUUAAAGAUCUUUAUGUGGUAGCUGUGAUUGCAACUGGGGAGAAUUAUACAUACAACAGGAAACAAGGAUUGCGAUCCUUCCCACACAAAUGAUAAACUGUAUACAUACAGUCUGUGGACAGAUUGUGGGGACAAGUUAACAUUCCUUGUUGCUAUACCCUCAGUUACAGGGGUUUGACUAAAAGGUGGAUGUGUGUUAAAGCCCCGCGUGAUACCUAACAAAGGCAGCCAGCGAGCGCCAUGCCCUCAGAAUUGUUCGUAAUAUUCAGAAAUGCAUUCCUCCUGCUAUGACUCUGUACAAGAAUGUAUAGGCAUAGAUAGCAAAACUUACUUCACUGCUGAGCUUAUGAGGAGAGGGCUGGAAGAGUUAGAGGUGACUGAUCCACCAAUCCGACAGUGAUAGAAAGUUCAAAGUAUGCCCAAACCUCAUGUCUCAGCACGGUUGAUAAAUCAGUGUGCUGGAGCAGGGUGGCCCCUAUAUAUGUGUCUGAUGGGGGCGGCCCGCAAGAUAAGGUCAGAAAACUCAUGGUUGAGGAAUGAGUCAAGCAGCUAGUAAAAAUAAUGUUUCCCCAGAUACAUUACCACUCCUUGAUGCUGCCUAAUUGCGGGGAGUUGGUCUGGAUGCUCAAACUUCUGAUAUUCUAGAGGCCACUCAUAAAGCCUUAAAUGCUUCCAACCCAACUUUGGCUGAAGAAUUGCUGGUUAUGCAUGGCACAGGGCUUCCCCAUACCCCUUGCCAUCCCCACCAGUGUUUCUCUGGCUACACUGGAAAAACAAGAUUACUUAAAUUAUAGUGCUGGUCCCCCCUUUAGAGUACAACCAGUAGGCUUCAAGGACUCUCUCUGUCUCCAAGGAGGUUUUCAUAAUGAUACCUCCAACAUUGACAUGGGGUUCGUUGCAUUUACUAAUUGUAGUUCCAUAGUUAACAGACUACCUCCCUUUAUCCCGCCGAAGGACAAGUAUUUAUUUGUGGAGGAAAUAUGGCCUAUACUUUCCUCCCAACUAACUGGACAGGGAUACAUGUAACAGCUGUCUUGUUGCCUGAUAUAGAGAUCCUACCCAGGGAUGAGCCUGUCCCCAUUCCUAGUUUAGAUUACACAAAACAGAAGGGGACUAGAUCUCCUAACAGCAGAACAAGUAGGGAUCUGUGUGGCAUUGUAGGAACGAUGCUGCUUUUAUGUAAAUAAGUCCGGCAUUGUCCGAGAUAAAAUCAAGAGACUACAGGAAGACCUUAGAAAUCUCAAUUGACUCCUUAGCUGAAGUAGCUCUCCAAAAUCUCAGAGGGCUAGACCUUCUGUUAGCUGAAAAAGGAGGACUAUGCUUGGCUUUAGGAGAGCAAUGCUGCCUGUAUGCUAAUAAGUCUGGGGUGGUAAAACAAAAUUUAGCCGAACUCCAAAAAGGCAUACAAGAAAGAGAAAGACUAAGGCGAGGAACUUUAGGAUGGGCAGAACAAAUGUUCUCCUUCCCAUCACGGAUGACAAACAUAAUAGUGACCGUAGCCUGUCCUCUUGUUAUGAUUCUAGUUUUAGUUAUUUUAGGUCCCUGCAUAGUAAAUAGGCUAACUGCAUAUAUAAGGCAUCAGAUGCAGAGCAUAAAAUUAAUGAUGGUUAAACAACAAAUGUAUGAACUUGUCCCCUCAGAUCUUUAGGUCAAAGAUUUGACCUUAGUCACAACAUCAGAGGGGAAUGUUAUAACCUAAGGCCCCCUAACUAUCGCGCCAAAGUCUGUUCUGUGUAAGUGCCACCUGCUGCUUCCCCUCCCCUUCUCCCUUCACAUCUAACUAGGUUAAGUUUUAACUUCCCAAAAGGCCAUAAAACAAAGGCCUGAGGUAAUAGCUCCUGACAACCCCCUUCCCUACCCAGUGGCCCGUCACAAAUUGUGUUAAUUGCAUUAGAUUGUAUUAGAUUAUACUAUUAUUCACAAAAAUAGCUUCGUGUGUAUCAUAGCAAUACCUAUAUGUGUUUUCCUUUUCCCUUUGGGUGACCUAAUUGAUAUGUUAAUCAAUGCUCUCCUCUGUAAAGAAUUGUAAAAUCUUACCUAAUUUAUAUGUUAACCAUUGUUGCCCUCUACAAAUAACAGUUGUGGUGCUAAAGUAAGGUAACUAAGAUUUUUAAUUGCUAUUAGACUUCUCUAUUCUUUGCUAAGAAAAACAAGAUUUCUUCUUAUCUAAACUUGCUUGUAUGCAGGGAGACUUGCAAUCGCCAUUUCUGUUUGCGCCACACCCCCAUCCUUUCCUUACAUUGUGUGACCAGCAGCUGUUUGUGGAUUUACAAGAUAAAAGCCCUGACUUUUAGCUGUCAGGUAUGCAGUCUCCAAACUGGCUCCCAGAGACUCGUCACCAGGCCUGGAAAUAAAGCCUUUGCUUCCCAAAUUUUAA